Molecule: small RNA, 61 nt
Filed under: Plasmodium falciparum 3D7
Lineage: Eukaryota; Apicomplexa; Aconoidasida; Haemosporida; Plasmodiidae
Description: Pfa-npcR6502a
Source: RNAcentral
ACAUUACAAACUGAUAUACAUAGUGAUGCCAUUCCAACAUGUGUUUGCGAAAAGUCGAUGG